Molecule: long non-coding RNA, 314 nt
Filed under: Cyanistes caeruleus (blue tit)
Lineage: Eukaryota; Metazoa; Chordata; Aves; Passeriformes; Paridae
Description: lncRNA (ENSCCEG00000020134.1)
Source: RNAcentral
UUAAGGAAAGAUAAUUUUGUCAAACAAUAUGCUAUUAUUCUGUGGAAUGCAGGACACCUGCUAGGACAGUAAUGAUAUAUGAAGAGGAUAAAUAUAAAAACAGGAAAGACUCUAAUCAGGAUACAGAAUUUUCAGGCACAGCUAGCAGCUAGGAAGGUCCUACUUGUCUGAGGCUACAAGCAUGAAACAGAGCAGGUCAAGAUAAGAGGGAGACUUACCACCAUGCUGCAAAUCUUGUUAUGCACAAUUAUUUUAUUAUUUUAUUUUAUUUUAUUUUAUUUUAUUUUAUUUUAUUUUAUUUUAUUUUAUUUUAU